GCGACGACGGGUAGCCGGCCUGAGAGGGUGACCGGCCACACUGGGACUGAGACACGGCCCAGACUCCUACGGGAGGCAGCAGUAGGGAAUCUUCCGCAAUGGACGAAAGUCUGACGGAGCAACGCCGCGUGAGUGAUGAAGGUUUUCGGAUCGUAAAGCUCUGUUGUUAGGGAAGAACAAGUACCGUUCGAAUAGGGCGGUACCUUGACGGUACCUAACCAGAAAGCCACGGCUAACUACGUG
RNAcentral lists this ribosomal RNA (243 nucleotides) under uncultured bacterium. RNAcentral describes it as "partial 16S ribosomal RNA". It matches the Rfam family "Bacterial small subunit ribosomal RNA", at positions 273 to 507 of the family's 1533-position model. The record is from RNAcentral.